Molecule: ribosomal RNA, 253 nt
Filed under: uncultured bacterium
Lineage: Bacteria
Description: partial 16S ribosomal RNA
Rfam family: Bacterial small subunit ribosomal RNA
Source: RNAcentral
UACAGAGGGCUCAAGCGUUGUUCGGAUUUAUUGGGCGUAAAGGGUGCGUAGGCGGCUCGGUAAGUCGGGUGUGAAAUUUCGAGGCUUAACUUCGAAACUGCAUUCGAUACUGCCGUGCUUGAGGACUGGAGAGGAGACUGGAAUUUACGGUGUAGCGGUGAAAUGCGUAGAUAUCGUAAGGAAGACCAGUGGCGAAGGCGGGUCUCUGGACAGUUCCUGACGCUGAGGCACGAAAGCCAGGGGAGCAAACGGG